Molecule: ribosomal RNA, 492 nt
Filed under: uncultured bacterium
Lineage: Bacteria
Description: partial 16S ribosomal RNA
Rfam family: Bacterial small subunit ribosomal RNA
Source: RNAcentral
AGUGAACGCUGGCGGUAGGCCUAACACAUGCAAGUCGAACGGCAGCACAGUAAGAGCUUGCUCUUACGGGUGGCGAGUGGCGGACGGGUGAGGAAUACAUCGGAAUCUACUUUUUCGUGGGGGAUAACGUAGGGAAACUUACGCUAAUACCGCAUACGACCUACGGGUGAAAGCAGGGGAUCUUUGGACCUUGCGCGAUUGAAUGAGCCGAUGUCGGAUUAGCUAGUUUGCGGGGUAAAGGCCCACCAAGGCGACGAUCCGUAGCUGGUCUGAGAGGAUGAUCAGCCACACUGGAACUGAGACACGGUCCAGACUCCUACGGGAGGCAGCAGUGGGGAAUAUUGGACAAUGGGCGCAAGCCUGAUCCAGCCAUACCGCGUGGGUGAAGAAGGCCUUCGGGUUGUAAAGCCCUUUUGUUGGGAAAGAAAAGCAGCAGGUUAAUACCCCGCUGUUCUGACGGUACCCAAAGAAUAAGCACCGGCUAACUUCGUG